RNAcentral lists this ribosomal RNA (549 nucleotides) under uncultured bacterium. RNAcentral describes it as "partial 16S ribosomal RNA". It matches the Rfam family "Bacterial small subunit ribosomal RNA", at positions 355 to 906 of the family's 1533-position model. The record is from RNAcentral.
UGAGGAAUAUUGGACAAUGGGUGAGAGCCUGAUCCAGCCAUCCCGCGUGAAGGACGACUGCCCUAUGGGUUGUAAACUUCUUUUAUACUGGGAUAAACCUACCCUCGUGAGGGUAGCUGAAGGUACAGUAUGAAUAAGCACCGGCUAACUCCGUGCCAGCAGCCGCGGUAAUACGGAGGGUGCAAGCGUUAUCCGGAUUUAUUGGGUUUAAAGGGUCCGUAGGCGGGCUCGUAAGUCAGUGGUGAAAUCUCAUAGCUUAACUAUGAAACUGCCAUUGAUACUGCGGGUCUUGAGUAAAGUAGAAGUGGCUGGAAUAAGUAGUGUAGCGGUGAAAUGCAUAGAUAUUACUUAGAACACCAAUUGCGAAGGCAGGUCACUAUGUUUUAACUGACGCUNAUGGACGAAAGCGUGGGGAGCGAACAGAUUAGAUACCCUGGUAGUCCACGCCGUAAACAGCUAACUCGUUUUUGGGGUUUUCGGAUUCAGAGACUAAGCGAAAUGUGAUAAGUUAGCCACCUGGGGAGUACGUUCGCAGAAUGAAACUCAAGG